Long non-coding RNA from Dermacentor silvarum, 290 nucleotides. RefSeq lists it as uncharacterized. Lineage: Eukaryota; Metazoa; Arthropoda; Arachnida; Ixodida; Ixodidae. The transcript is spliced from 3 exons. The record is from RefSeq and is a predicted model, not a curated record.
ACAAUCAAAGGCUGAAACCUGUCGCCUUGGGCAAUUUGUGUAGCUGCAAGCAAGCGUGCUUGUUCUCUACGGGCUCUACGGGCCUUUUCUGCGUGUAACAGCCUGCUGUGACUUAUCACUGAACCGCGAGCGCAGCACUAUCCUACAGCAGGAACAGACUCAGCGCAGCUGCGGACAUGUUGAAAUUUAUUAUUUCUUUCGGCGCUGGAGUCUACGCGGGCGUGUAUGUAGCACGAAACUAUCAGGUGCCCCGUGUUGAUGAGCCACAAGAACUCGGCGAAAGAUAAAGG